Molecule: long non-coding RNA, 465 nt
Organism: Lates calcarifer (barramundi perch)
Lineage: Eukaryota; Metazoa; Chordata; Actinopteri; Centropomidae
Exons: 3
Source: RefSeq, a predicted model, not a curated record
ACCGCUGUUGGAUGUUUGAGUCACAGCUUUGUCCUAGCACAGUGAGGGGGAUGUUUGCAUACGAACCCCUUAUCAAACAUUGAACUGAUGACCUUGCUCAGAUAAAUAUCCCACAGAGUCAAACUGCUCCUCAUUCUCGAAGAAGACAAGACUGCAACUAGUGGCCAAAGCAGCAUGGCUCCAUCACUUCUUGCAACAGCAGGAGGACUUCUGUUACUUUUCUCCUUCUCAUCAGCACAAACCAGAGCGACAACAUUGCAUUAUGCACCCCAAAUGAUGGCUUUGGAAAGUACUGUCCCACUACAUGUGGAGUGGCUGAUUACUUAACGAGGGUACAUGCCAGAAGUGACCAGGGAUUUGGACAGCAUGUUAAGAGACCUGGAGAUAGCUGCCAAUUUGACCCAGGGGACUGAAGAAAAAAUUGUCUAUAUGAAAGAUUCUGCUACUUCAGCCCAAAAGAGUUCC